This is a long non-coding RNA of Equus asinus (donkey), 14650 nucleotides long. NCBI's taxonomy places the organism in Eukaryota, Metazoa, Chordata, Mammalia, Perissodactyla, Equidae. The record is from Ensembl.
GUUCCCACCCACCCUAGCCUACUCAGAUGUAGCUUCAGUAAUUCUCUACAGGAUCUUUCCUGUCAACAUACAAAAAAUGCUACUAUUUUCCCCCCACCUUUAAAAAAGCUUUGCUUCAUCCCUCCUUUGCUUCCAGCUAGCCCUAUUUAUCUCCAUUACUUUACUAAAAUUUCCUUCAGAGUUGUUUAUAAUAAUUGCUUCUAAUUUCUCUCCUCUCAUUCUUCGUUGGACAUACUCUACUUGGGCUUUCCCUCCCUCACUGCUUCACUGAAACUGCUCUUACCAAAGUCAGCACAAUGCCCUUGUUGUUAAGUCCAAUGGCCAGUUCACGGCUGUUACUUUACUUGACUUGUCAGUAGCAUUUGACACUGUUAUCACACUGCUCUUCUUAAAAUACUUUCCUCCUUCAGUUUACAGGACAACUCACUCACCUAGUUUCUCUCUAAAUUCCUGAUCCCAUCUUGCUAGGUUUUUUUCAUCUCCCCAUUCCCUAUUCCUUUCAGUGUUCAGUGUUUAGAACUCAAUCCUUGAAUAUUCUUAAUUGUCUACACUUACCUUCUAGGGGCCAUUAUCCAAUCUCAUACUACUAACACCAUUUGUAGGCUGAAAUCUCCAAAUGUCUAUCUUUGACCCAUAAUUCUCCCCUUAACUACAGGCUCAUGUCCUGUUGACAUUGCCUCUCCAAUCAGUAACACGAAAAAAUUCUUACAUAGCACUUACUGUGUGCCAGACACUAUUCUUUAGUAUUUCACAUGUAUUAACUCAUUUAAACCUCACAACACCCUUAUGAGGUAGAUAGUAUUAUCAUCACGUUUCAUCUAAGAAAACUGAAUGAGAAUGAGGGAUUAAGCAAUUUACACAAGGUCAAUCAACCAGCAAUAGCCCCACCAGGAUUUGAAUCUGAGCUUUCAGAUGCCAGAAUCUAUAUUGUUAUGCCCUAUAACUAUGCCACACUGCCUCUCAAAUUAAACAGUUGCAGGGCAUCCUUCAAAUGUCGAGAACUGAGCUCUAGUUGUGCCACAAAUCUGCUCCUUUCCCAGUAAUUUGCCUCUUGAUUGAGACCACUUCUAGCUUCUCAGGCAAGACAUCUUAGAAUUGUCAGGAAAUUCCCUUUUUCUGUCAUACCACAUCCAACAAACCUCCAGCAAAAUGAGUUGGAUGGCCCACAAAAUAUAUUCAGAACUUCAUUUCUUAUUAUAUCCCUUCCACCUGCCACAACUUUGUUCAAGCCAUUAUCGUUUCUUCUUAAUAUUACAAUGCCCUCCUAAUUUCUCUCACUGUUUCUAAUGUGCUGCUCUUUAGUAUAUUCUAAGUGGGCAAACAAAAUGCUUCUGUCAAAAAUAUGUCAGAUAAUAUCAUUCCUUUGCUUAAAACCCUCUAAUGGCUACUCAUCUCAUUCAGAGUAAAAACCAGCUCCCUCACUAUGACAUGAAAUGUUGUACAUAAUCUGGCCUGUUCAUAUUACUUCUCUGAAUUCAGCUUCUCCAGCCCCCACCUCCCACCCCUCAUCCACUUGUCUCCAGCUGUGUUGGACUCCUGAACUUUCAGGUUUUCUGGAACCUGCCUCAGGAAUUUGUACUCACUGUGUCAACUGCCUGGAAUGUCUUUCUCCAGAUGUUUAUAUUAUAAAUGGAACUAUGUCCUCCCAAAAUUAAUGUGUUCAAUUCCUAACCCCAUCUCCAUCCCUAAGAAUGUGACCUUAUUUAGAAAUAGGGGACUUGCAGUAAUAAUUAGUUAAGAUGAUUUUAUCCUGGAGUAGGAUGGGCCCUGCUAAACUAUGACCUAUGUCCUUAUAAAAUGUGGAGAUUUGGACCCAAAGAGUCACACAGCAAGAAUGGCAUGUAAAUAGGAAGGCAGAAAUCAGGAUGCUGUGUAUACCAGUCAAAGAACAACAAGUAUUGCCAGAGAACUACCAGAAGCUACUCCUUCACAGCUCUCAGAAGGAACCAAUCCUGCUGGCACUUUGAUCUUGGACUUCUAGCCUCCAGAACUGUAAGACAACAAAUUUCUGUUGGCUAAGACACUCAGUCUGUGGUACAUUGUUAGAGUAACCCUAACAAUUAGCAAACUAACACAGUUUUUAUCAUUUGAUCUCUUACCUUAACAGGUCUUUAAUCAUAUACCACAUUCUCAAUGAAGUUUUCUCUCACUAAAAUUUCAUUCACACACACCCACACACAGCCCAAAAGAGGUUUCUCUAUUUUAUUCUGUUACUUAUCUAACAUGCUUUGGUUUUAUUUAUUUCUCUUGUUUAUUUUCCGUUUUCUCUACUAACUGUCCAUGAGAGAAAGAAUUUGUUCUUGUUUCCCCAGCUCCUCAAAUACUAACUGGCACAUGGGAGGUGUACAAUAAACACUUGUUAUACAAAUGAAUUGAUGAACUCCCUGGCUGUUCAAGACCAUAUAUGUAACCCAAAACUGACAUUCUAUCAGUCUCAGUUUGGGCUGAAUCCCAAUAUAGUGGUUACCAACUCACCCUAAAUUCCAAAAUGAGAUUAUAAAAAACCAUGAAGGAUUUAGAUUAUCUAAAGUUAAUGCUAAGACUCUUGAUUCUUCGCACAAAAGUAGAUGAUUUGUGAGUUUAGAAGAUAAAGAUGGGAGACAGAAUUUCUGGAGGAAGCUUAGUGAUGCGAAGAUUCCACCUGUCCUUCCAUCACAGGGGAAACAUUGGUGCUGUUUCUUUCGCUUUCCCUUGAACUUGGUAAGUGAAGCUUCAAAGAGUCCAAUAAAGAGCUUAAUAUUCGUCCUUUGAAGUUUGCGACAUGCCUCAGUGGACUUCUGUCUGAUCCGUACAUGUCUGGCCAAGUGGCCAGUGGCUGCAUUGGAGAAGUAACCACAUUCGUGGCAGUGGGUCUCAUUUGUAAGUUUUCCCAUGGACUAGAAAGAAGCAGUGAGUAUAAAAGCCAACACAAAACACCUGGAGGGACAAGAUGUCAGUAGAGAGAUGCUGGAGAUGUACAGCCAGAUGCUGGUGUGAGGGUGGAGCCAGAAGUAGCAACUGGGAGGCAUCAUCCUUGUCAGGAAUUUAUCUGAGAGAUUCUGGUGGAUAGUGAGUCUUAAACACCACCAGGGCGUAGGGAAAACAGUAUAAAUCAAUGGCGGCCAGGAAAGCUCUUUCCUGCCUCUUCUUCUCCCCUCUGCUACAACCAUGACUAAGCCCUGGGCUUCAGGAGAGAGGGAAGAUAUGACAGAGUAAAGAGAAACCAAGACCUAACCCCCAAUACCCCUCUUCACAAGAUAGACACACAAAAACACACAGUCACACAUUCCCUGCACACUUUUCACCUGGAGCAGUCCAAAUUGGGACAAAAGGGGAGCCAGAGAGGGAGAAAUUCUAACUUUAAUGAAGUUCAGAGUUUUUUUCAAACAUAUACGUUGGCAUAUUAAUUUUUGAACUGAGAAUAUUUUUAUGACUAAGGCAACUAAAGGAGUUAUGGCUUCGAGUAGUACUCAGGUACUGGAUGUUGCGUAAGUUGUUCUUGGGCAAAGAAAUAGUUGGCAGUGCAGAGAGAGGGGAGUGGGUGGAGAAAAUAAAGCAGUUCUUUUCUUCUGUUAUCUUUGAGUCCUGCUUUUUCAGCAUACUAGUCCCAUUACUCCACUGUGCAAACAAGGAAGAUUAUCCCUUUAUGAAAAUUAUUUGAAAAUUAUAGGAUGCAGUCUAUAAGUUUUGUGUAGAACAAACCGCAGAUACUCUAAUUUUCCAAGUAUGCAGCAUUAUAAUAACUAAUUAAAAACAAUAAAAUUUAGACAAUAGUAUAUAAAGUUUUCUAACAUAGAAUAGCUAUCUUGAGAUUUCUGGGAGAUGACAUGAUACAAUUAUUUAUUUAUUUUCUUUUUAAAGGUAAAAAGUCACUGUGGCCAGCCCAGAGACAUAGUGGUUAAAUUAGCAUGCUCCACUUCCGUUGUUUGGGGUUCUCAGGUUCAGAUCCUGGACGCAGACCUACAUACUGCUCCUCAAGCCGUGCUGAGGUGGCGGCCCGCAUAGAAGAACUAGAAGGACUUACAACUAGGAUAUACAACUAUGUACUGGGGCUUUGGGGAGGGGAAACAAAAAAAAUGAGAAAGAUUGGACCAAUCUUCCUCACCAAAAAAGCAUACCUUAAAAGAAAAGGUAAAAAAUUCCUUUACAAACCUCUUUGUAUAGCUAACAGUGUGGGAAAGGUGAAUAAGUCUAAAGUUAUUUUCUUCUCUGUUUCAGCACUUUUGAAAGGCACAAAAGGAAAUAAAACCAAUCCAGAAAUUCAUUAUUUCUCUCCAAUUUUUCCUUUUCCCAUAUGAGCAGAGCCUGGAAGUGCACAGACACAUUAGGGAAUGUUUCCACUGUGUGGGAGAAACAUCUGCAGAGUACGCCUGGACCACCAGAAGUGGAGUGAGAAAGAAGCAUGUGGGGGCGGAGGCGGCAGACAAUGAAAGGAAAACUGGGAGCUGGUGAGGCCCAAACAUCCAACGGAAUUGCCUAACCUUCAGGUUACCUUUUCUUUAUAUAAGAAGUCUAAGAGCAAUAACAUUCAUGUGAAAAACACAUUUUAAAAAAUGGUGGUGAAAUAGAGUUCAAAGCAUACCCUUUGAAUUUUUUUUUUCUGUGAGUAUGGGAAACGUUAGCAUUCUGCUUUGCACGUCUUUCUCUCUAGAGCCUAAGCUGGGUGGUUUUCAUGGGUUUCUUCCUACUCAUCCUUUGCAGCCAUUUAUUAAAGUGGCCAUGUUAAAGUCUGGGAGCUACAGCCCUCCUCUCAAAUCAGAGCAAAGCACAGAGAAGACAGAGAUGAAUUCUGAGUAAAUACAUUGUGAGACAUCAGGGGCUAAAAGGGGUCUGGAAAUGCAAAUGAUUAUCAUUAGAAAGUAAUAUGCAACUACUGAAAGAAUAAUGCAGUCUAGCAAAACAAUCCUGCAAUCUGCGUUCAAUCAAAGCUGACCAAAAUGCUUACACUGGUCCUUGCGUUCAUUAUUGGAAGCCAAAUGCUUUCUGGAACUCAUGAAGCAAGUUUUACCAAGUGGCACAUAACCAACAGAAUACUGGGGAAACAAUACCAGCCUUAGAGUUGAAUUUUCCAAUAAAAGGGAGACUCUCCAACUCUAAUGGCCAAGGUAUUGAGAGUGACAAGAAUAUUGAUAUACCUGUAAGUGCUCACAGAUGAGUUUUGUGGGUUGGUUUGUUUUAGUCUACAGCACAUGUGACUGGACAUCUUGCCCACAAAAUAGCUUAUGCGUGACGAUAAUGAAAAUUCAGGAUACAGAGCUUCAAAAAUCAUAUGUGGCAGGGCUAAAUGUAGGAGACUGGACAAGAAGAAUGCCUACCACAAAUGAUUGGAACCUGCUUAAUUAAUUUUGAUUCUGGGCCAGUUUAAUAAGUCUCUUAAGUGCAGUGGUACUGAAAUUCUAUUAACUUUAUUCUCAUAGAAAACAAGACACAUAUUCUUUGUAGAUUGUGAUUUUCACUAUUCACCUUUGGUUCAGAGCCUUAGUGAGCAGGCCUUUUGGGCUCUGAUCUUCAGAAAGUUCUAGCCAUGGCUAUGGUUAAAUUUCAGACAAAUCAUCUGCCUUCACCCCUCCCAGUUCACACCUGGCAUACAUGAGCAGGGCUGCCUCCUUGGGAAGCAGGCUGGCAGUCACCAGGCAGAAGCCCCGCUGUCUUUCAUGAAAGAACUACUUAUCCCGGGGCCAUAUAUCAUAUACAGCCAAAAUUCGUGGUUUAGGACAUGUCAAGCACCCUCAGAAAUCCUAGGAUUCAUUCACCUACCAGAAACAGAAAUGUAUUCAUAAGUAGCUUUUUCAACAAAAUACCAUGAAGUUAGAAUAUAGUUGAGAUCCAAUGUGUUUACUGGCAAAAAACAGGUAGGCAAACUGAAAGACAUUAGACUUUCUAAUUUAAAUAUAGCAUGCCUCUUAGUUUAUAUUUAUUUUUCUGGAGAGUCUGAUAAAAUUAUUUUAAAUCAAUAUUAACCAAAAUGAUACUUUGAAGAGUAACAGUAAAUGAGAUGAUGACCUCUUUGUACGUUGUAUAGUAAUAUAAAUAUAACAGAAAUUCUUUCACAAAUUUCAAUCUUAUAGAAAUUUCUUUCUUUUUAUUCUGGAGAAAGUUGAAAAGAAUAAAUUUUUAUUUUAUUAUUAAUUCCAGUAUUACAUAGCAAAAAAUGCACUCACACAAUGAAACAAUUCAUGUGUAGCUUUGUGAUUCCCUUAAAUAAUCUCUCCUUGCUUCCUUCCUCCCUCCUUCCCUCUUUUAAAGCUUUAGGAAUUCAAAUUCAAAUGAGCAGGCUGGUAUUCGAGAUAUAGUUUAAGUAUAGAAUAAUUGUCAAAAUAUUCAGGUGGGUGGAAAACUAUUUCCCCGGAGAGAUUAUUUUUAAUAAUGUUUUUAAGCAACUUAUUAAAACAUGCUGUUUUCUGCCUAAUUAAAAUGUGCAUAACAAUAACUAUCACAUUAUAAAAAACUGUACUUACAAAAGGGGUAGUUAUUUAACUUUAUGAAUUUAAUAAAUAAAUGAUUUAAAUCCCUAUGUUGUCUUUGUUGAGGCCCUCAUGGCAUUAAAGAGAAUUGGUUUUAGACAUUUUUCCAUUUGAGUACAAUUACUUGAUGCUAAAAAGGCCUAAUUCACUCCAAUCUAACUGCAAUUUGGCCCCCAAAUAUCACACAGAAUCUACAGAUUAUCGAUUUCUUGCCUUGUGCAUUAACUCACUGACUCUUCAUAUUGACCCUAUUAAGUACUUAUUAUCUCCAUUUUAUAGUUGAGGAAACUGAGGCAUAUGGUUGUUAAAUGGAAGAAUCUAAAGAACUAGAAGUGUUUGAAUCUAGAAUCUGGUAUGUUACUUCAUCUCUUAUUGAACUGAAAGCCAAGAACAAAAUAUAGACAAAUAAAGGUAUUUAAGUGAGGAUGAUAUUGAUAAAGUAGCCUGCUUUCAAGGAAAAUGAUUUAUCUAAAGCACAAAAUUACAUCUUGGAAAUUGAAGCAUCAGAAUAUCAUGACAGAUAAUUUAAAAAAAUUAACACUUGCAAAUUUCACACACCUGGUAAGUUGUUCUCUUUCACUCUGAAGAAUGGAUGGGCACCAUGAGAUCCAUUUACUUGGAUCUUCUUCCAAAUGUGUGGGUUCGGGAUAUGAGAAAUUUUAUUUUCUCUAAAGUUAGGAAGGAGCAAGGAAAACAUAUAAAGAGGAUAGAGUACACGUAUAAAGGCAGAACUGUCCUCAAUUGCUAAUAUAUGCCAUAUGAUAAAAGAAUAAAAAGCAUAUUUGAAGCAAAAAAAUACAUUCUCCAAUAUAUUUUAUUAGUUUUUAUUGUGGUAAAAUGCACAUAACAUAAAAUUUACCAUUUUUGCCCCAUUUUUAAGUGUUUAGUUCAGUGGCAUUAAGUACGUUCACAUUGUUAUGUGUCUAUCACCACCAUACAUCCCCAAAACAUUUUCAUCUUGUAAAACUGAAACUCGGCAUCCAUUGAACACUACCUCUCCAUUCCCCGCUCCCUCCAGUCUCUGGAAAUCAGCAUUCUACUUUCCGUCUUUAUGAUUUUGAGUAUGCUAGGUAUCUCAUACCUCAUGAUUCAAGUGGAAUCAUAUCAUAUUCAUCCUUUUCUGAUGGGCUUAUUUCAUCUAGCAUAAUGUUUUCAAGAUUCAUCCAUGUAGUAGCAUGUAUCCAAAUUUCCUACCUUUUUAAGGCUGAAUAUUCCAUUGUAUGUAUACACCACGUUUUGUUUAUUCUUUCAUCCUUCAAUGGACAAUUGGUUUGCUUCCACCUUUCAGUUUUUGUGAAAAUGCUCCUAUGAACAUGAGUGUACAAUGUAUGUUUUUGUCUACAGCUUUAAUUAUAUGUUUUAUCUACAGCACCUUCAGAAGCUUUGGAAAUCCCUGAGUUCUACAUCAUUCACUAUUAACAAAGUAAAAACAUUUCCUGUUUACUUUCUUAGGAGCUGCACAUAUUAAAACUAAAUAAAACAAAUCAAAACAAAACCACCACUGUCAAAAAAACAAACAUCCAAAACUCCUAUAAUUUCAUGUUAUAGUGAAUAUUCAAAUUAAAGAAAAAACAAGGGAGGAUUCCAACUUCAGAUAAUAUAUUGAACAUACAAGUCUAUCUCCUCUCCCUCUUAAAGGUCUAUUACAUUGGGAGUAACGGCAUAAAAAGUCUAUAUCUACAAAGAAAGAAGAGAAUAGGAGGGGAGAGAUUAGAGAGCUAGAAGUCCAAUUCAUGGAUGAAUAGUGACUGGUGAAGCAGCAUAGGCAGGGGACUCAGGGAGGAAUACGAGUGGAGGGGGCUCUAGCUAAGGAGGAAGUAGGUUUGUUCCUGAAGAACCACAACAGAUAGAAAUGGAAAGUAGGAAUGAAAUGUGGGAUUUAAAAUAAGAAUUAACUGGAAUUUAUGUUGAAGACUUCUCUUCACUUAGCGUGAAAUGCCUAGAGCCAGGUGAUACCUUCCCAGAAAGGAAAAAUGAGAAUUCUUCUCUAAUAAACUGAACAAUUAGGGAGUUGCUACCCUAGAAGGAAUCCUCUUUCAUUCUGGCAUUUAAUGGUUCCAAAGUGUAACAUAAGGCUCCUGGCUUGUUCACCUAAAAGCUAAUUAGAGAGAGUCAAGAAUCUCUGCGUAUGUACAAAGUAUAUACAGUCAUUUUUACCAGAGCCUCUUUCUCAGAUAAAAAGGGGCACCAAGAAACACCAGAUAUAAGAGAAAAGCCAGCAGAACAAAAAAGAAACACCAAAUUGUACAAACAAGAACAACAAAAAAAGAUCUGUAAUUAAACACAUCACCACAAAAUUUCUGUGCAUUAAGGAUCGUAAGUGUUUCCAGAGAGGAAGACAGGUUAUGUAGCAAACAGGUUUCAGACUUCUCCCUAGCAAUACUCUGCUAGAAGGUAGCACAACAAUGCCUUCAAAGGUCAGAGGGAAAAGCAGAUUUCACCUAUAAUUCUAAAUCAGCCAAUCCAUCAAUGAGGUGGGCACACAGAAUAAAGACAUUUAUAUCAUGCAAUGAUUCAGAGAAGCUUUCCCUUUCUUAGAGAGUUAUUUGAGGAAGGACUCUGGCAAAACAAGGAAUAACUGAAGAAAGAGGAAAAUGUGAUCCAGGAGAUGGUAGAUUUAACUCCUCCAAGAGGGUAGUGAGAUUUCCCAGGAUGAAGCUCAGUACCAUGAACAGAGACUGGAACAGGGAGGAGGUGUGCAGAGGAAGGAGGGGUGGGGGCAGUGGAGUACAUAAAAUAGAUAAUAUGAUUAAGAACUUGGGAAUAACUGAAGAUUGGGGAAGAUAUAAAAAUGAACAUUAAUUUUAAUUUGUGCCCAAAAUAUUUGCUAUUGAGAGACAUAGGAGCGGACACUGGACCAUAAAAGAAAGAAAUAUGAUAAUAUAGUAAACAGUCUCCACUGGGUUUUAUUUGUUAGACUGCUUCUUAGAAAUGGUGGACAAUAUAACUAUGCCUACUGAAUGAAUGGGAUGUAUAUGUCUUUAACCAUAGAAUUAUAAAACUGGAGGUUCAGAAGACAAGUAGGGAGGUGAAAGGGGAUAAAGAAAAGUGGAGAGGUUGGUGGAAGCCCUAAUAUUUUCUAUUUUACAGAGAAAGGUGAAGAGAUGCUGUUUAUGGAAAAUGGAUAAAAAAUGGUGAUACACAACUAGAAGGACCCACAACUAAGAAUAUACAACUAUGUACCGGGGGUCUUUGGGGAGAAAAAGGAAAAAAAUAAAAUCUUAAAAAAAAAAUGGUGAUACAAGAAAAUCUUCUGAAGUAGAGGGCGGAGAGAAAUGUAGCAAGUGAUAGAUGUGAGCCAAUUACUUUCUUAUCAUAAAAGAAAUCAGUAGACAAUGCCUACACUUUGUGAAUCAAAAAAAAGUGUUAUAAAAGAAAAUGUAGAGGGGCCGGCCCGGUGGCACAGCAGUUAAGUUCGCACGUUCUGUUUCUCGGCAGUCCGGGGUUCGCCAGUUUGGAUCCCUGGUGCGGACGUGGCACCAUUUGGCAAAAAGCCAUGCUGUGGCAGGCGUCCCAAGUAUAAAGUAGAGGAAGAUGGGCACGGAUGUUAGCUCAGGGCCAGUCUUCCUCAGCAAAAACAGGAGGAUUGGCAGUAGUUAGCUCAGGGCUAAUCUUCCUCAAAAAAAAAAAAAGAAAAAGAAAAUGCAGAGAUUGAGGUAAACACCAGUGGAACCGAAACCAGAAAAUACUAUGAAGAUUUGCUUCUGAAGGAAUAGAACUGUUGGUGGGCUGGGAGGGCACUGCUUAUUUUCAUUAUGUAGUAGCAUCAUUUUCACUAUUAUAAUAUCCUUCUUAUGCUCUUUGAUUUUUUUCUAAAAACAAUGUGAAUAUUUUUGAUAAAAAUAAAAGCACUUAAUUUAAAGGAAAGAUCAGAGUGAAGGAGUUUGUGCAAACAAACUACAAGGAACACCGUUUCUUUCUUUUCAGGAACACAGAUACUAACUUUUUAAAUUUGUUUAUUUUUUGCCAUGUUUCAAAUGUAUAGACCUCACCUCAUUCAAAGCAGUGCUGUCAUGCCCUUUAGUCUCUAAGAUUUUGGAGAAAGCAGAUGGAUUCCUUAAUCAGCUAAAGUAAUCAAGAUCCAACAAAAAUGGUUUUAAAUCAUUGUUUUUCUGCACUAAUUUUAGGAACAUUAGAUUUGCAUUAACUUUUAGUGUUUAUGAAGUGCUUUUAUAAAUACCUUCACCAUAAAUCUAACCUGCUUGGUAAGUAGGAGAUAUCCAGUUGCAAGAGAUUAAAUGGCGUGUCUUGGUUAUGAGUGACAAGUAAUAAGAACCCAUACUUUUUUUUGGGUCAGUCAAAAAGUCAAACGAAAGUGCCUACACUUUUGCUUACAAAUGCAAAGCAUCCUGCAGAUUGUAUCAGAAGCCUGUAAUUUCAGCAACAUUAAAACUGCUCUUAUAUCAUGUUUCCUUGUUAUGUUGUUACAGGUGAAUGUGAAUAGCAACACGUGUUCUCUACAUUCCCACACUGUGCAAAACACCUUUCUGAUUACAAACAAGAGCCAUUCUUUCACAUAGUCUGUCCGAAUCCUGAAAAAUGGGCAUGUUUACACGCUCAAGGGCAAAACUGAGGCUGGGGCAGAUCAGAGCCUUGCGUAUGGUUUGUCUCUUAGUCCAUCUGCAUUUCAGUCCUCAUCACCACGCAGAGACAGGAAGAGGAGCAAAGCCUGAAGGAGCAAGAUAAUGGUCUUUUUGAUGCUUCAACCGCAGAAAAAGAAAUGUAAACAAUAAAUGCUCUCUGAAGAUUUUUCUAUCAUUAUGAAUUGAUAACAUACAAAGAAGAGAAAGUUUUCUGAAUUUUUUUUUCCCAAGGAAGAUGAGCCCUGAGCUAACUACUGCCAAUCCUCCUCUUUUUGCUGAAGAAGACUGGCCCUGAGCUAACAUCCGUGCCCAUCUCCCUCUACUUUAUAUGUGGGACAUCUACCACAGCAUGACUCGCCAAGGGGUGCCAUGUCCCCACCCGGGAUCCGAACUUGUGACCCCCGAGCCACCCAAGCAGAACAUGUGCACUUAACUGCUGCACCAUCAGGCCGGCCCCUGAAAUAUUUUAAUUUAUUCAAUCUGUGAAUAUCCUUUUAAAAAAUAUUUUAACUGAGUUUUUCCAAAUCUAUUUGCCACUUGGGCAAAAAUACGUAUGCCCAAUAAAGCAUGUAUGUUUACUAUGUAACUAUUACCCGAAUCUCUCUUCAAAUGAAGUAGAAGUGGAUGUCCUAGGCUCACAAAGUGGGUUUUGUGUCUAAAGUAACUCUGAGACAUCUCCAUGGCAGUAGAGAACACACAGUUCGGAGAGAGAAUCCCCAUUUCGUAAAACAGCCUCUAGGGUACACAUUGUCACUACAUUGAGCUGGGUUACAGACCUUACCAAAUGGCCCGUCAUUAUUCCUUGAGCUUUUACCAAUAUAAGAAAAUCAAGUAUAUGAUGGAGAAAAGUAUUUUCUUAAAAUUUAACUUGUUUCUUUUCUUGAUUAAAAGUUACAAAAGUACUAUAUGAUUAAAUGUAAAUAGUAUAUAGAAAGUAAAAAGUGAUAAUUCCUCUUCACUCUCCCCUACCUCUACUCCCCUCCUUCCAGGUAAAAACUGUUAACUUUAUUUUACUAGACUUUAUGUGUUUACCUAUCUACGGAUGUGUAUAUACAAAAGAUGUAGCACAUGGUCUAUCCAUCUAUUUAUUUAUACACAUAUACAUCUAUUUAUUUGGGGGAAAUUAUUAAUUUUAGAAACUCAAGAAAUACAUAGAAAUACUGAAAGAUUUAAAAAGGAAGUAACAAUCACCCAAAUGCUAUCGAGGAACACGACCUCAAUAUUUUAAAAACCUCAGUUCAGAAUUCUUGCAUCUAUAAACACAAAUAUAAAUAAGAACGAUAAAAUGUGAUCAUACUCUUCAUGUUACUUUAAAAUUGAAAAUGUAUUAAAAUUAACAUGACAUCUACAGAAUGAAAAGAAGUUGAAAUAAAGCCAAAAGAAUCGCUGAGCUUUAAACAAAUGUUUCUUUCCACUAAAAAAAUUAAUUCUUAAGAAUAAAUCCCACUAAAUACAAGAAUUAAAAUAUGAAGACAAUAUAAGAGAAAUAUGAAAGAAAACAUAAUUUUUCCUUAAACUGCAUUUUCAAAUUUAUACAAUAUCUAUUGACUCUCUUAUACGAAAUAAGGAAUUUCGUGAACUUAAACUCCUAACUCCCUUUGCAUUCCGUAUCCUAUUUUCUUUUAGCCAUGUUCAUUUUACAUUGUCACAGUUCUGUGAUCAUAAGCACUACAACUCAGUAGUUUUAUACCUAUUUCAUUUAUAAAUUUUUAUUACGUUAUAGUCACAUUCCUUUGCCCAGUCCAUUCAUGGUUUCAUUUUGAAUCUCAAGGUGCUGCUGUGUGGGCCAGGCAGAUAGCUUAAUUUUGAUUGUAGUCAUAGGAGAUAGAUCUUAUUCAUACUGCUGUAAGAAAUCAGUGUGACUUUAAAAAUUUUUAUUCAGGGGCUGGCCCCGUGGCCGAGUGGUUAAGUUCGCGCGCUCCGCUGCAGGCGGCCCAGUGUUUCGUUGGUUCGAGUCCUGGGCGCGGACAUGGCACUGCUCAUCAGACCACGCUGAGGCAGCGUCCCACAUGCCACAACUAGAAGAACCCACACCGAAGAAUACACAACUAUGUACUGGGGGGCUUUGGGGAGAAAAAGGAAAAAAAUAAAAUCUUUAAAAAAAAAAAAAAGAUUUUUAUUCAAUACCAUUAAAAAGCCAACAGAUGGAAAAUUUAUUCUAUGAAAAUAGAUGGCAUUUUCUCCCUUCCUAUAAAAUGAGAUAUGCCACCCUGUUUCACCGUUUUUGUCUUUAAAAAAUCUGUACAAGGGGUGUCCUUUGAAUGAGCUCCUUUGAAAGCAUUUGGCUUUUCUGGAAUGAUGUAAGGACAUUUACUCGAUAGAACUGAGCUGAAAAAUCGAAUUCAGUAAAAACAUAUAUACAUAUAAAAAGAGAAGCUAUGAAGAAAUAUAUGACCUCUUCAGCAGGUGUAAUGGGAUAUAAUUAUUUCAGAAGCCCUUGUCUUUGAGAUUGCCUCUCACUGAAGUUAUUUGUGCCUAUCAAUUGUGAUGGUAAGAUGUUUCAGAUAUAAAACCUUUUCUGGGUGGUGAUUGUGCCUGAACGCAAAGAAGGGAAAGGCAGCAGGGCACAGCUCUCUUCCUCAGCAUCUCACCUGUCCGUUCCUCUCCACCUGCUCUGGAUUCUGGAUGAGUAUAAUUCUUCUCUCACCCCGUAGAGGCACUGACAAACAGCUUGCUGAGCCUUCAAAGUCCAUCCCUACAAGAUUGGGACUGGGGUUUGAGGAACUUUCCUGGGCCUCCCACUGUAACUUUCAAAAGAGAAUGUGUUCAACCACCAAUGAAAAUCUUAGGAUCGCAGCUGUCAACAAAUGUUGCUCUUCACUCCAACUAAGUAAAAUGUCAGGUUUUCUUUAAGUCUUGACGUUUUAGUCAAUCCAGGUGUGAUCAAUGAAUCUACCUCACCUUGUGGAGGCUUACAAAAUGACUACUGCAAUCCCAGUUUUUGCCCUCUCUGUGAGACUAGAAGUAACUAAGUACUAUCUUCAACCUGAGCCCUGAGAUGGUUCUGGGAGAAACCUGAAUUGGAAUGAUUUAACCCACACACCUCUACCCACUGAUACUUGCUUAUGAGAUUCACUUGCUGGUGUGAACACUAGUUGGUGUGCACUGUGGACAGCUCCAUACCUCUGUCUGGGAAGUUGGCAAUCUUGUACCCAAAGGGUAGCCAUGAACAACUCUAUCCUCCUCAUUCCUGUGGCUGAGAUACCCUCAGGGUUACAAUGAAGACUAUAAUUUAAUUUAAAAUUUCUUGCCUACAAAAAAUUAACUAUGAAAUUUAAUCUGGAGCAUCUGUGCCUCCAAGUCUUGUCAUGGUGAAUAGAAUUCUCUGGUAUGUUGUUGUGUUGGAACCCAAAAGAGAGCAUUUUUCACUGCCUUGUUGAGAUGUAGUUAUGAAUUUGAGCUUAUCCCAGGCCAUCAAUAGUUGUUCUGUAAGUGGCCUCUAGUGCUUGGCCACAGAGAUUGUUACUCAGAUAUCUGGGUGUGUCUCUCUUUCUGAGAGAGUCUAUCUCUUUACAAUUUCUGACAUUCUUUAAACUCAGCUCACACAUCACAUCUGUGGGAUGACACUUCCCAUGAAUUUAUCAAGUUUUUAAUAUUUAUUGCAGUGUUUAUAAUAGUUAAAAU